Molecule: ribosomal RNA, 253 nt
Filed under: uncultured bacterium
Lineage: Bacteria
Description: partial 16S ribosomal RNA
Rfam family: Bacterial small subunit ribosomal RNA
Source: RNAcentral
UACAGAGGGUGCAAGCGUUAUUCGGAAUCAUUGGGCGUAAAGAGUUCGUAGGCGGUUCGUUAAGUCUGGUGUGAAAUCCCUGGGCCUAACCCAGGAAGUGCAUGGGAUACUGGCGGACUGGAGUGCAGGAGAGGAGAGCGGAAUUCCAGGUGUAGAGGUGAAAUUCGUAGAUAUCUGGAGGAACAACAGUGGCGAAGGCGGCUCUCUGGACUGUUACUGACGCUGAGGAACGAAAGCGUGGGGAGCAAACAGG